RNAcentral lists this long non-coding RNA (1084 nucleotides) under Panax ginseng (ginseng). RNAcentral describes it as "long non-coding RNA (PGIN_LNC001773)". The record is from RNAcentral. Lineage: Eukaryota; Viridiplantae; Streptophyta; Magnoliopsida; Apiales; Araliaceae.
CGAAUAAAACUGUGUAAAGGUAAAGUAUUCAGAUAACCGAACACACUCUACUCUACUAAAUAGUCUAAAUUAAUUAGUCUGGACAGUCGGGUAGUGUCUUAACAAACAAACACACUUGAUUACUUCUACUUGAACUCUCUCAGUCUCAGAUCUACUUUACUCUCUCUCUCUCUCAGUCCUCACCUCACUCCUCAGAUCUCGAACUCUCUCUGUCUCUCAGAUCCAGACGAGUGACGACCGACGCGGCGACGCCCUGAGGCCCCAGACCCAGUCACCCACCUCUCGAUUUCUGUCAUCGGUCGACGCCGACGGCGCCAAUCGGUCCUUCAUCUCGAAAGGUACUUUUGUCUCAGAUAUGGAUGAAAGGAUGAAGGAAUGUGCAGUGGGUGUUGAAAUUCAAAGUAACCAGUCUCCGAAAUGCUUUGAUGAUGAGUUUUGUAAUUCAAAGAGUUUAUUAGAGAGUUUAAUUUGGGUUUUUAUCAUUUUUUGAAUUGUUUUUAGUUGAAAGUCAGUUUAUUAAUUUGGGUUUUUAUCAUAUUUUGAACUGUUUUUAGUUGAACUGUUUUGGUUUAAUUUGGGUUUUUAUCAUUUUUUGAACUGUGUUGCUUGGUUUAAUGGCAACAGCAACAGCAGCACUGCAGCAACACUUUUGCUUUUGCUUAUGCUUAUGCUUAUGUUUACCCCUUGAAUGUUCAAGUCUUCAACAGCAGCACUGCAGCAGCUAGCAACUGAACUGUCAACUGUGUUGCUGCUAGUUUAUGUUUAUGGAUUGAAUGUAAUUUUGUUUAUGGAUUGUAAUUAUGAACUGAACUGUGUUGCUGUUAGUUUUUUAAUUCGGUUUUUAACCGAAAAAACCGAAUAACCUAAGUUAUUCGGUUAGUGCAAAUUUCGGUUAUUUAUUCGGAUAUCAAAAACAGUAUUUAUUCGGGUAUCGGUUAUAACCGAACUUGCGAUUCGGUUCGGUUAUUAACCAAAUGCUCAGUCCUAUUAGUUUAUGCAUAUAUUUGAUUUGAUGAUAAAAUAAGAACUUAAUGUAUAUUUAUAAAAUUAAUAACUUUGAUAAAGUUUUUAAAAUGAUUUAGUG